CCUACGGGUGGCAGCAGUGGGGAAUAUUGCACAAUGGGCGCAAGCCUGAUGCAGCCAUGCCGCGUGUGUGAAGAAGGCCUUCGGGUUGUAAAGCACUUUCAGCGGGGAGGAAGGCGGUGAGGUUAAUAACCUCAUCGAUUGACGUUACCCGCAGAAGAAGCACCGGCUAACUCCGUGCCAGCAGCCGCGGUAAUACGGAGGGUGCAAGCGUUAAUCGGAAUUACUGGGCGUAAAGCGCACGCAGGCGGUCUGUCAAGUCGGGUGUGAAAUCCCCGGGCUCAACCUGGGAACUGCAUUCGAAACUGGCAGGCUAGAGUCUUGUAGAGGGGGGUAGAAUUCCAGGUGUAGCGGUGAAAUGCGUAGAGAUCUGGAGGAAUACCGGUGGCGAAGGCGGCCCCCUGGACAAAGACUGACGCCCAGGUGCGAAAGCGUGGGGAGCAAACAGGAUUAGAUACCCUAGUAGUC
Molecule: ribosomal RNA, 465 nt
Filed under: uncultured Klebsiella sp.
Lineage: Bacteria; Pseudomonadati; Pseudomonadota; Gammaproteobacteria; Enterobacterales; Enterobacteriaceae
Description: bacterial SSU rRNA
Rfam family: Bacterial small subunit ribosomal RNA
Source: RNAcentral